AAAACCAACUUCACCGAUUUCCAAAAGGGCCAUGGCGCCUAGAAAGAGUUUUUUCGGACUUCUCAGGCGAAAUACAGUGACUAUAUUCUUUCCCCUGUUGACUGCGGUGGCCAUUGGCGCCGAUUUGUACAAUACGAGGAGGUGGAAAGCCAAGAAAAGCGGUGAUCUCCCUGCAUAGGUUUUAAGUAGCCACUAGCCUAUACCUACCUAGGAUUAAGAUGACGUUCUUCGCACACUUCAAACUUCCUCCAAAUUUAGUCAAGUAUAUGUCCGUCCCCAUCUUGGGCUUCAUGAUUGGUUCGUAUUUGGAUCGUCUGGAAACGGAACGCAUGACUCUGUUCAGAGACAAAUCUGCACUAUUCGGACGGGAACUGGCUGAGGGAGAAAAGCCCUCUUGGCCAUAGCUAGCAUCUACUGUAGUUACCUGUAAUAUAUUUAUAAAUAUAUAUAUAUAUUCGGAUGCGAGGAUGUCUACCAUUGUGUACGUGUUAAUGACUUAUUCUCCCAGUUUUAAAUAAAUUUGUAAAAGUAA
Molecule: long non-coding RNA, 532 nt
Organism: Macrobrachium nipponense
Lineage: Eukaryota; Metazoa; Arthropoda; Malacostraca; Decapoda; Palaemonidae
Exons: 3
Source: RefSeq, a predicted model, not a curated record